GAUGAACGCUGGCGGCGUGCCUAAUACAUGCAAGUCGAGCGAACAGACGAGGAGCUUGCUCCUCUGACGUUAGCGGCGGACGGGUGAGUAACACGUGGAUAACCUACCUAUAAGACUGGGAUAACUUCGGGAAACCGGAGCUAAUACCGGAUAAUAUAUUGAACCGCAUGGUUCAAUAGUGAAAGACGGUUUUGCUGUCACUUAUAGAUGGAUCCGCGCCGCAUUAGCUAGUUGGUAAGGUAACGGCUUACCAAGGCAACGAUGCGUAGCCGACCUGAGAGGGUGCUCGGCCACACUGGAACUGAGACACGGUCCAGACUCCUACGGGAGGCAGCAGUAGGGAAUCUUCCGCAAUGGGCGAAAGCCUGACGGAGCAACGCCGCGUGAGUGAUGAAGGUCUUCGGAUCGUAAAACUCUGUUAUUAGGGAAGAACAAAUGUGUAAGUAACUAUGCACGUCUUGACGGUACCUAAUCAGAAAGCCACGGCUAACUCCGUG
This 497-nucleotide ribosomal RNA is filed under the name uncultured bacterium. RNAcentral describes it as "partial 16S ribosomal RNA". It matches the Rfam family "Bacterial small subunit ribosomal RNA", at positions 28 to 507 of the family's 1533-position model. The record is from RNAcentral.